CUGACAGUUGGCACAGUGUCCAGAGUGAUCCAUAUCAAACUGAGCUACCACUGGAAUGUUCCGUCAAAGAGGCGGGUGGACCCAGGGGGCGGGACAGACCAACAUAACCAAUUAAGGAGGAGACUGAGCGGUCUUCUUCAGUGGUUUUGCUCCCCGACCCUGCGGUGGGAAAAUGCGCUCACUUGUGGGAUUCUGGGAAGGCGGCGGUGGACGAAACAUCUGUUGGGAGCAAGAUGUAUGCAAGUCUGUGUACUGUAUGUGAAUGUUGGGACCGUGCCCUUGCAUUCGCUUUAAGUUUACAGAUUUGUUUGGAAAAUCUAGACAUGGUGAGGAAAAAUAUUCAAUAAAAGCAUUAUGUGGUAGUUUUGAAAGAACUUUUCAAGAUGCAUUGUAAUAUAGAGCUCUGAGCUGAUGAGUAAGUUUCAGUGAUACAGGUGUAUCCCUGAAGCUGCUUAUACACUGCUCAAAAAAAUGAAGGGAACACAAGG
Molecule: long non-coding RNA, 488 nt
Organism: Monopterus albus (swamp eel)
Lineage: Eukaryota; Metazoa; Chordata; Actinopteri; Synbranchiformes; Synbranchidae
Exons: 3
Source: RefSeq, a predicted model, not a curated record